UGAGAAUAAUGUACACUGGACAGCCCUG
This 28-nucleotide non-coding RNA is filed under the name Homo sapiens (human). Lineage: Eukaryota; Metazoa; Chordata; Mammalia; Primates; Hominidae. The record is from RNAcentral.